RNAcentral lists this ribosomal RNA (468 nucleotides) under uncultured bacterium. RNAcentral's name for it is "partial 16S ribosomal RNA". It matches the Rfam family "Bacterial small subunit ribosomal RNA", at positions 28 to 507 of the family's 1533-position model. The record is from RNAcentral.
GACGAACGCUGGCGGCGUGCUUAACACAUGCAAGUCGAACGGCAACGCCCUGCUUUUUUGGUGUUCUCGAGUGCCGAACGGGUGCGUAACACGUGUGUAACCUGCCCUUGACUUUGGGAUAACUUCAGGUAACUGGGGCUACUCCCGGAUCGCAGCUCCUGCUGCAUGGUGGGGGUUGGAUCUUCUCGGCGGUUGGGGAUGGAUUCGCGGCUUAUCAGCUUGUUGGUGGGGUAGUGGCUUACCAAGGCUUUGACGGGUAGCCGGCCUGGGAGGGUGACCGGCGACAAGGGGACUGAGAGACGGCCCAGAGGGCUACGGGAGGCAGCAGGGGGGAAUAUUGCACAAUGGGAGGAAGCCGGAUGCAGCAACGCCGCGGGCGGGAUGACGGCCUGCGGGGUGUAAACCGCUUUCGCCUGAGACGAAGCGGGAGUGACGGUAAUGGGUAAAGAAGCACCGGCUAACUACGUG